Long non-coding RNA from Micropterus salmoides (largemouth bass), 822 nucleotides. RefSeq lists it as uncharacterized. The transcript has 4 exons. Lineage: Eukaryota; Metazoa; Chordata; Actinopteri; Centrarchiformes; Centrarchidae. The record is from RefSeq and is a predicted model, not a curated record.
AGGGAAAUUAGCAGUUGCUACAACAAUCACUGUUGUUCUCCUGGUUAUCAUUUCCCUCUGUCUCUUCCUGUGGAUCAGGAAAAAGAGGGCUUCCAAGGAAUCAUCUGAGCCUGAAGAGAGACCAGACAACAGGGAACAGUUUCUACCUGAACAGCCAGAGCAGCAGGAUAACCUUCAGUAUGCCAGCAUUCACUUCACCAACAACCAGGCAGAUCCUCUCUACUCCAACAUCAGACCAGCUCGCUCCCUCAGACACACGGAGCAGCAAGAGUCAUGGAGUACGCUGUUGUCACAUUUAAGAGUAAUACUGCCCCGAGAUCCAGAGGUCAGGAAACUGGAGAGGAUGUAGCUGCAUUGUACAGCACCGUCAACAAAACCUAUUGAAUACAACAGAUAUUACAUUUCUGAUAUUUCUAUGUUUCUUUAUGAACUGAUUUAAGCAGAUAACUAUUGAUUUUUACAAUAUAUUUCUCAGGAUGGGCCUUAAAAAAUGGGCUAAUUAAUUAUAUACCUUAGAGAAACUUUUCAACAUAACAUCCACCAGUAUAGCAGUAGGGGUGGUGAUGGAGCAGUGGAUAAGACACAUGCCUUCAGAUUCCCACUGCGACACAUCCACCAAUGUGUCCCUGAGCAAGACACUUAACCCCUAGUUGCUCCAGAGGCGUGUGACCUCUGACAUAUUUAGCAGUUGUAAGUUGCUUUGGAUAAAAGCGUCAGCUAAAUGAUAAAUGUAACCAGUGUUCAGCUUAGAUUUUUACUCUGCAUGUGCAGCUUUAAAGAAUGUGUAAAGUAUUUUAUGACUUAAAGCAUUAACUUGAAUAU